UAUUUAAAUUAAAGUAAUAAUAAAUAAUUUUUUUAAAAUUAAUUUUAAAAGUUUGAUUUUAGCUUGAUUAUUUAUUUAAUAAUUAUUUUGCAUGUAAAUUUUUGUGAGUAUUUGAUUAAUUUUAAAAAAAUUAUUUAUUAUUUAUAUUUGCAGCAUUUAAUUUUAAUAAUUAAAUAAUUUUAGAAUUAUUAAUUAUUUUAAUAUAGGCAAAAAUUGUGCCAGCAGCUGCGGUUAAACAAUUUAUGUAAUUAAAUAUUAUUAAUUUAUAAAUUUAUUAUAUAAAUUAAUUUUAUAUUUUUUAUAAUUAGGUGAAAUUAUUUAUUAAAAUUUAUUAUUAAAUUUGAAAUAUUAUUUAAUUUAUGAAAUCUAAUUAAUAAACUAGGAUUAGAUACCCUAUUAUUUUAGAAUUAAAUUUUAUAAUUUAAGGAUUAAUAGUUAUGUUCUUUAAACUUAAAAAAAUUGGCGGUAUUUAAAUCUAAUUAGGGGAAUUUGUUUUUUAAUUGAUAAUCCUCAAGGUACCUUACUUUAAUUAUAAAUUUGUUUAUUGUCGUUAACAAAAUAUUUUUAAAGAAUUAUAAAUUUUUAAAAAUUAUAAAAAUAAUUUAUUUCAGAUCAUAGUGCAGUUAUAUUAAAGUUAGAAUGAAUUACAAUGAAAUUUAUUUAUAUGAAUUUAUAGUUGAAAAAUUAUAAUGAAAGUGGACUUAAUAGUAAAAUUAAAUUAUGAGUAUAUUAAUUUGAAUUAAGAAUUAAAUGUGUACAUAUUGCCCGUCACUCUCAUUUUAAAAUGAGAUAAGUCGUAACAAAGUAAGUGUAUUGGAAAAUGUACUUAGUAAGU
This 835-nucleotide non-coding RNA is filed under the name Labriocimbex sinicus. The record is from RNAcentral. Lineage: Eukaryota; Metazoa; Arthropoda; Insecta; Hymenoptera; Cimbicidae.